Molecule: long non-coding RNA, 317 nt
Organism: Melitaea cinxia (Glanville fritillary)
Lineage: Eukaryota; Metazoa; Arthropoda; Insecta; Lepidoptera; Nymphalidae
Exons: 2
Source: RefSeq, a predicted model, not a curated record
CAGGUUCGUCGUAAAGUCGACACGCACCAUUAUAUGUGAAUGCUAGUGUCGGUCUUCUAAUGUAAGUGUACUCGUUCGAAUAAUGUUCAGACCGGUUGUAGCUUCGCAUCAAGCUGGUUAAAUAUAUUUAAGUUUAAAUAUUCGAUUUCAUUUUGUUUGAAGGACCUUAAGAAAAUCAACAAGUCUAGAGUGGAAUUAUCAAAUAAUGCAAUACAUGCCAGGAAAGUACCUUUGUCCAACCAAGAUACAUAUACAGAAUGAAGCAGUAACAAUUUAUCAUUGACCUUGUGGAAAUGAAUAUUUUAAUUUCGAUUAAA